AUUCAUGAUCGCAUUCACUGGUAUUUUAUCAUUUUUCACAUUUGAAGCUGGUGGGAAACAAUCCAAACUUCUGUUUGCUGAAGGAACUAAACAACUCAUCAAAAAAAUGUCAUCGACUGGAUUUAAAACAUUUCUUAAAGGAGGCGGCAUGGUUGUGGGAGGAGCUGUUGGAAUGGCUUUUUCACUUCCAGAGGCGAUU
This is a long non-coding RNA of Scomber scombrus (Atlantic mackerel), 199 nucleotides long. RefSeq lists it as uncharacterized. The transcript has 2 exons. The record is from RefSeq and is a predicted model, not a curated record. NCBI's taxonomy places the organism in Eukaryota, Metazoa, Chordata, Actinopteri, Scombriformes, Scombridae.